GAUGAACGCUGGCGGCGUGCCUAAUACAUGCAAGUCGAGCGAACAGACGAGGAGCUUGUUCCUUUGACGUUAGCGGCGGACGGGUGAGUAACACGUAGGUAACCUACCUAUAAGACUGGGAUAACUUCGGGAAACCGGAGCUAAUACCGGAUAAUAUCUCGAACCACAUGGUUCGAUAGUGAAAGAUGGAUUUGCUAUCAUUUAUAGAUGGACCUGCGCCGUAUUAGCUAGUUGGUAAGGUAACGGCUUACCAAGGGAACGAUACGUAGCCGACCUGAGAGGGUGAUCGGCCACACUGGAACGGAGACACGGUCCAGACUCCUACGGGAGGCAGCAGUGGGGAAUCUUCCGCAAUGGGCGAAAGCCGGACGGAGCAACGCCGCGGGAGUGAUGAAGGUCUUCGGAUCGUAAAACUCUGUUAUUAGGGAAGAACAAACGUGUAAGUAACUGUGCACGUCUUGACGGUACCUAAUCAGAAAGCCACGGCUAACUACGUG
Molecule: ribosomal RNA, 497 nt
Filed under: uncultured bacterium
Lineage: Bacteria
Description: partial 16S ribosomal RNA
Rfam family: Bacterial small subunit ribosomal RNA
Source: RNAcentral